Silurus meridionalis is the source of this 1624-nucleotide long non-coding RNA. RefSeq lists it as uncharacterized. The record is from RefSeq and is a predicted model, not a curated record. The transcript has 3 exons. Lineage: Eukaryota; Metazoa; Chordata; Actinopteri; Siluriformes; Siluridae.
AAUGACACUUUGGUAAGGAAAGAUGGUGGAACACACACACACACACACACACACACACACACACACACACACACACACACACACACACGGUGUCCUUGUAAAGAGCACUCAGCCAUGUGUCCAUUCAGGUCUGUCUGGGGGUGCAGUGUGGGUCACAGUGGAGGGUGAGAACCUGAGAUAAAGAUCGCUCCUGCAGCGACUGACCGGUGAAAAAUGCGAGAGGGGUGGAAAGGUUGCGCUGGAUCUGCUGUCCCUCGUUUGGUGCCAGCGUGAGGACACAGAAGGACACUGAGAGAUCUUUCACUCGGCCGUGGCAUCUUCCAACACCUGCACUGGUGCGCUUUUGUCCCAGGCUCGCCGUGUGUGCUCGGCCCUACAUUAAGGCCACUGUGCAGGAAAGGAACUGGCUUUGUGUGUCUGAAUAGGUGGACGUUGGUGUAGGAUCAGGGUGGUGUGACUCUUUUCCCCUGGGAGUAAUCGGCUCUCCUGUCCAGCCCGGCAGCAGACUGCAGACAUCAGUGUCUCGUUCUUUCAGCAUGUGAGAAGAACUGUUUCUCUUCGCAUCUUAUGAAAGACUCUCUUUCUUCACCAUCUCAAAACCCAGCGCAGGAAGUGGGCCGCUGGAAUGGGGCUCGGCUGGAGGACACUAAUCUCUCUGAUGAGACGCAGCCACGAGGAUAACAAAUCACCCCUGAGCGAAAAUGUAAAGCGUCAGGCAAAAUGGCAAGAAUCUCAUGUUGCGAUUGUCGGAGCCGUGAUUAUGUUACACGAUACGCAUCCCAGAAUGUAGUGCCGAGCUUGUGUUCCACUCUCAAGUGUGUUCCUCUGGGAGAACCAGGAGCAAAUCUGUGACGUACUGAACUGAGUCUUACACUCAGUUCUAACUACUGAGUGUCCGUAAACACACUGAUAAACUAAUACCUUCUUCAUAAUGACACAUGAAUGAUCCCGAGUAAAUAUAGGGUUUAGUCUUGGUUAUUAAACAUUAUUCAUGCUUAUACAGGAUGUCGCUCACAUGACGAAAAACACUUUUAAUAUUUCCUGAUGCAUUUAGGGUUUCAUUCAUGUACUCUUCUUCUUCUCCUUUUCCUUCUUCUUUUUUUCCUCCUUCUUCUUCUUAUUUUUAUUUUUUUUAAUGAAGCUUUAGUAAUUAUUAGCUAUUUUUUCCUAUGUGUGGUAUGUGUGAAACACACACCAUGUCUUACAUUUAUGUUAAAUAGAUUAGAGAUGCAUUAGUGAUUAGAUGCAUGAAACAAAUUCUAAAUAGGUGCAAAGGCCUUUACUCCACCGUGAUUAAUGUACAUUCAGUUCAUCCUGCUUGGCUGUGAUGGGGAAAGUAGUCCGAGAGUAAAUGAGGCAUUUUACAGUUUGUUGAGAAGAUGAAGAUUAGCAGGGGAGAGAAAGAGAGAGAGAGAUGGAAUCUUGAGACAAGGCACAAUGGUUUUCUUCCCCAUGUGAAAUGUCACACUAAAAUAUAUGAUCUGUAAUAUCCAAAUGAACAGACAAUUUGCUCCGCAUCGAAAAGCAACAGAAGCAACAUCACACAUCUUCAGCUCUCUCCAUAUGUUUGUACAUUUACAUCUACAAUAUAUGGACAAGGGUUUGUGGAAAAGAUUGGUAUCUG